UUUACUCACCUUGUUUUCUCACAGAAUAUUACAACAAAAAAAGUGACAUCGUAUAAGCUGCCGAGGCAAUCUCGCUAUCAGUACUGGAUUUCUAUUCAAGCAAAGAAAGAUGAAAACAAGACGCCAUGGACUAAAGAGAAGUAUUUCAGUGCAGCUACAGAUCCGAGUGCAAUUCUAUAUCCUGUAGUUAUCAUCCCAUUGAUGUGUGCUGGCCUGGCAGUCCUCACUGUUGUGUGUUGCAGGAAGAAUAAGAAAGCUCUUUUCCCCAAAGUACCAGAACCUCGAGACCUCCUCAGUGAGAUUUCUAACAACAACAACAAGAGCGUUAUUCACAAACUGUACAUCCCUGCAGAGGAAGAAGAAAACUGCAAAAUCACUCUGGUGAUGGACCCCCAAACUCUCCUCCUAGCAAACCUCUGAAGUAAAGAUGUGUUUUAAACUGCAACACCUCAACAGCUCUCAUUCAUCUAUAGUGCUGGCUCGACAACAAAUUGGAAGAUUGAGUAGCCAAAUAUGUCGAUGGAGAUUAACUUAAAUAAUGGCAGCUACUGAACUCCUGCACGUGGUUAUUUUUUAGAUGCAGCU
This is a non-coding RNA of Labrus bergylta (ballan wrasse), 585 nucleotides long. The record is from RefSeq and is a predicted model, not a curated record. Lineage: Eukaryota; Metazoa; Chordata; Actinopteri; Labriformes; Labridae.